Transfer RNA from Fistulina hepatica ATCC 64428, 85 nucleotides. It matches the Rfam family "tRNA". Rfam says of the family: Transfer RNA (tRNA) molecules are approximately 80 nucleotides in length. The record is from Rfam. NCBI's taxonomy places the organism in Eukaryota, Fungi, Basidiomycota, Agaricomycetes, Agaricales, Fistulinaceae.
GCUCCCUUAGCUCAGCGGUUUAGAGCAUUGUACUUAUGUGGAUACAGUUAUGCAAGGGUCACCAGUUCGAUUCUGGUAGGGAGCA